GCCCGGGUAGCUCAAGUCAGUAUAGUCGCCUGAAUCGUGAAUGAUAUCUCAAACUAACCCUUUACAGUGGUUAGAGCUUCAGACUUUUAAUCUGAAGGUUGUGGGUUCGAUACCCACCUCGGGCG
Cytospora paraplurivora is the source of this 125-nucleotide non-coding RNA. The record is from the annotation of a GenBank genome assembly. NCBI's taxonomy places the organism in Eukaryota, Fungi, Ascomycota, Sordariomycetes, Diaporthales, Cytosporaceae.